UGGUCUGGGCGUAAGCUCUUUGGACCACCGUAGGCGGGAUGAAGUUCC
RNAcentral lists this non-coding RNA (48 nucleotides) under unclassified sequences. RNAcentral describes it as "DUF3800-XI RNA". It matches the Rfam family "DUF3800-XI RNA". Rfam says of the family: Actinobacteria, Firmicutes, Proteobacteria, Spirochaetes (1 example). The record is from Rfam by way of RNAcentral.